CAGCAGUAAUCUUAGAUAUCCAUAAAUUUUCUUCAUUCAGCUAAGAAAAUCAAGCAGAAUUUUGGCAUGUGAACAAAAAAAGAUUAUAUUGACUAGGGCGUUGAGGAUGGAAGAUAACGCAUGUGGAUCUAGAUUUCAUGGUAUUCCACGCAAAAUGCUAAGAUUGGUAUUUAUCACUAUUCAUUUUAUGUAUAUAAAUUAUAUUGAAUAUAUUAAAUAUUAAAUUAUAUUGAAUAUAUGAAUAUAUUAUGAAUGGUGUCGCCGACAUGAAGAGAGGCUCAAAAUGGAA
Stomoxys calcitrans (stable fly) is the source of this 289-nucleotide long non-coding RNA. RefSeq lists it as uncharacterized. NCBI's taxonomy places the organism in Eukaryota, Metazoa, Arthropoda, Insecta, Diptera, Muscidae. The record is from RefSeq and is a predicted model, not a curated record. The transcript has 2 exons.